This 63-nucleotide transfer RNA is filed under the name Polygyra cereolus. Its description in RNAcentral is "tRNA-Trp". The record is from RNAcentral. Lineage: Eukaryota; Metazoa; Mollusca; Gastropoda; Stylommatophora; Polygyridae.
UAGAUUUAUAAGUUAUUUAAACUAGUAGCCUUCAAAGCUGAAUAAGCUUAUUGCUAAAUCUAU